CUGGUUGAUCCUGCCAGUAGUCAUAUGCUUGUCUCAAAGAUUAAGCCAUGCAUGUCUCAGUGCAAGCCGUCCAGUACGGUGAAACCGCGAAAGGCUCAUUAAAUCAGUUAUGGUUCCUUAGAUUGUACCCACGUUACUUGGAUAACUGUGGUAAUUCUAGAGCUAAUACAUGCCGACAGAGUUCCGACCAGCGUCGGGCGCGGUUCACGCCGUCGCUCGGCGUUCGGAAGGAACGCUCUUAUUAGAUCAAAACCG
RNAcentral lists this ribosomal RNA (255 nucleotides) under Dactylopius confusus. Its description in RNAcentral is "partial small subunit ribosomal RNA". It matches the Rfam family "Eukaryotic small subunit ribosomal RNA", at positions 4 to 223 of the family's 1831-position model. Lineage: Eukaryota; Metazoa; Arthropoda; Insecta; Hemiptera; Dactylopiidae. The record is from RNAcentral.